RNAcentral lists this non-coding RNA (28 nucleotides) under Mus musculus (house mouse). The record is from RNAcentral. Lineage: Eukaryota; Metazoa; Chordata; Mammalia; Rodentia; Muridae.
UAGGUGGCCUUCCCUUCAGUCUCUGCUG